CUUCCUCCUCCUCACAGAUGCUGCUCCCCAGCGAUGUUGGGGUGCCCACGUUCUCCGGGUCCUCGAUCCAAUAGCCCCCAAACUGUGGCAGGAUGACCUGAGGGUAUGGGCCUCCCUUCUCCACAACCUGAAGAACAGGAACAUAAACCCUGCCAGCUGACGAUGCAGUAUCCGAAGGCGCUGAACUUCUCACCCCGCAUAAUACCAGCUUCUCAUCCUAGAACGCUCAUUCCGGAAAAUGACCCCUAGUCUCCCCCAGCACCUCUUUCCAGGCAGGGGGACUGGCCUCCAAGUGAGAAGCGGCACCCCUGGGCUGGGAAACAGAACCUGAAGCUGAGAGCUGACUGCCCACUGGAACCCGGGGCAGAGCCUGACACCCUUACACACUGCACAGGGCGGGGAAGAGCCGGGCCAAACAGCCAAGCCUGAGGUCCCACCGCGGCCUCCACCCCCAGCCUGCUCUGAAGGUGCCCUGAGGACUCAAGCCAGGACCCCUCUGCUGCCCACCGUGCACUGGUCUAACAAGGCAGUCAUGAAGCGGCCGUGGCGUGAGUCAGAGUUAGACAAGUGUGAGACAGAAGACCCCAGCACCCUGGCAGCUCCUCCGGCCUUCCUCUCACCCUGGCCCCUCACCAGGGCCAUCGGGCCACCCCCUCCCCCACCCAGCCCACCUUGUUCUUCUGGGGUCCCGGCUUCUGCUCUUCAAGCUUGAUCCCCUAUAGAAACAAGGAAAACAGGAUCCACAGAAAAGCAAAGAUCAGAAGAAAGGGCCAGAUAAAGAGCACCUGGCCUCACAGGGGGUUAGUAACAAGAGCAGCAGCCACAGCUGGCCCAGGCUGGGCCUGCACACAUCACACCUGGCCACGGGCGGGCCUCCCAGCACCCUCAGGCAAGGCAGCAGCACCGCUGGGCUAACAGCACAGACUUGAGACAGAUCACCACGGUUCAAAUCCCAGCACUGCCACCUAUCAGCCUGAUGACCUUGGCAAGUCACAGAAACCUCUCUGUGACUCAGUGUUCUCAUCUGUGAAAUGGGAACGAUGAUGGUAUCGACUAUGCCACCAUAGUUAAAGAUGAACAAUGGGUUGAGCACUUGGAACACUGACUGGUACAUAAUAAAUGUUGUGGGUCAUUAU
This is a long non-coding RNA of Rhinopithecus roxellana (golden snub-nosed monkey), 1136 nucleotides long. RefSeq lists it as uncharacterized. The record is from RefSeq and is a predicted model, not a curated record. Lineage: Eukaryota; Metazoa; Chordata; Mammalia; Primates; Cercopithecidae. The transcript is spliced from 2 exons.